UUGGGGUCCGAGUUGUAAUUUGCAGAGGGUGUUUCGGGCACGGUGCCGGUUUAAGUCCUUUGGAACAGGGCGUCAUAGAGGGUGAGAACCCCGUAUGUGACCGGUCGCCAAACCCAUGUGAAACCCCUUCGACGAGUCGAGUUGUUUGGGAAUGCAGCUCAAAAUGGGUGGUAAAUUUCAUCUAAAGCUAAAUAUUGGCCAGAGACCGAUAGCGCACAAGUAGAGUGAUCGAAAGAUGAAAAGCACUUUGGAAAGAGAGUCAAACAGCACGUGAAAUUGUUGAAAGGGAAGCGCUUGCGACCAGACCUGCUCGCGGGUGAUCAGCGGUGCUUUUCGCGCCGUGCACUCAUCCGCGAUCAGGCCAGCAUCGGUUCAGGCGGCCGGAUAAAGACUCGGAGAAUGUAGCUCCCUCCGGGGAGUGUUAUAGCUCCUUGUGCAAUACGGCCAGCCGGGACCGAGGACCGCGCUUCGGCUAGGAUGCUGGCGUAAUGGUCGUAAGCGACCCGUCUUGAAACACGGACCAAGGAGUCUAACAUCUGUGCGAGUGUUUGGGCGUCAAACCCAUGCGCGCAAUGAAAGUGAACGUGAGGUGGGAACCCUUUCGGGGGCGCACCAUCGACCGAUCCAGAUGUCUUCGGAUGGAUUUGAGUAAGAGCACAGCUGUUGGGACCCGAAAGAUGGUGAACUAUGCCUGAAUAGGGUGAAGCCAGAGGAAACUUUGGUGGAGGCUCGCAGCGGUUCUGACGUGCAAAUCGAUCGUCAAAUUUGGGUAUAGGGGCGAAAGACUAAUCGA
RNAcentral lists this ribosomal RNA (793 nucleotides) under Psora decipiens. Its description in RNAcentral is "LSU rRNA". It matches the Rfam family "Eukaryotic large subunit ribosomal RNA", at positions 131 to 938 of the family's 3401-position model. The record is from RNAcentral. Lineage: Eukaryota; Fungi; Ascomycota; Lecanoromycetes; Lecanorales; Psoraceae.